UUAAUUUUUUUUUAGUAUUGCAUACUGACGAAGGAAAAUUUUUAUUUUUAUAAUUUAUAGAAUAUAAUUGUGAAACUUAUAUUUGAUAGUUGUUACAAAAUUAUUUAUAGGUAGGUUGGGGUUGAUAAAUCGUGAUUAUGUAUAUCUGUUUUAUAGAUUUUAUAGUUAAGUUAUUUUGAAAUUUAAGGUUUUGUGAAGUUCUUUUGAUCUGUGUUUAGUUGUGUUAAGGACAUAAAAAGGUAAGGGAGGAUUUUGAUAGUUCAAAUUAAGUUUUUAAUUUGUUUAUAAUUUUUGUUUUAGUAAUUUUUUUAUAUAUAAUAUUUUAGAGGAUUUAUUUUAAAUAUAGAACUUGAGUACUUGUUAAAUGUUUUUUAAAAACUGAGAUUCUAAGUUAGGAUUGUUUUCUGCUCUAUGAUGGUUAAAUGGCGGCCAUAGCGUGACGGCCUAAAAGUAGCAUAUGUGAUUUGUUUUUUUAAUGUUUUCUAGUAUGAAUGGAAAAAAUGAUGAGGUUUUUUAUAUUUUUAAUUUUGAAUUAUUUUUUUGAUUAAUAAUAAUUAUAUUUAUUAAAACAAAGAUAAGUCUUCGGAAAUUUUGUUAUGCUGCGGCAUAUUUUUCUUGGGGCUGGAAAUUAUGAAAGUUUUAUAAGCUAAAUUUAAUUUUAUAAAUUACUCCGGAGUUAACAGAGCUAUAGGUACUGACGUAGAAUUAUAUACGAGGUAUUAUGCUACAUCGAUGUUGUAUAUUUGUUGUAAAUUGGAAGAGAAGAAUUUUUUUUUAAGACUGUUCUUCUUGUAUAAAAAUAGAACUUGAUAUUAGUUUAGUUCGUCGUGAGACAGAGCGGUUUAUCUUGUUUAAUAAUUUUUUUUAAUGGUGUGAGUACGAAAGGAAAGUAACGAAGACUUUAAUGUAGGGUUUUUUAGUAAAAUUUUUAAAAU
Molecule: ribosomal RNA, 935 nt
Filed under: Physaloptera rara
Lineage: Eukaryota; Metazoa; Nematoda; Chromadorea; Rhabditida; Physalopteridae
Description: large subunit ribosomal RNA
Source: RNAcentral